RNAcentral lists this transfer RNA (75 nucleotides) under Puniceicoccales bacterium. Its description in RNAcentral is "tRNA-Arg". It matches the Rfam family "tRNA". Rfam says of the family: Transfer RNA (tRNA) molecules are approximately 80 nucleotides in length. The record is from RNAcentral. Lineage: Bacteria; Pseudomonadati; Verrucomicrobiota; Opitutia; Puniceicoccales.
GCUUUCGUAGUUCAAAGGACAGAACUGCGGUUUCCUAAACCGUCAAUCCCGGUUCGAGUCCGGGCGAGAGCGCCA